CAUAAGCUGGCGGCGGGGGGCGAGCGGCGGGUGCGUGAGUGCGAGUGUGAGUGAAAAGGGUGCGUGCGAGCGUGCGUGUGCAAGGGGUGCGUGUGUGUGUGUGCAAGGGGCGUGCGAGGCCGCGGUGCCCCCCGCUCACAGCCCUACACGUUGAUCUUAUUCGAUCGGCCCCGGCCGAGAUGAGAAGAGCAGCGCCGCGAAGCCCCGUUCCCAUCCCGGGGCGCUGUGCGGCGGCGGCGCGGGCGGGAUGAGUCGAUCAGAUAGGCGAGGCGCCGAGCCGCUGAGCUGCUGCGAGUCUGACCCGC
Non-coding RNA from Neopsephotus bourkii (Bourke's parrot), 305 nucleotides. RefSeq annotates it as small Cajal body-specific RNA 2. The record is from RefSeq and is a predicted model, not a curated record. The transcript has a single exon. Lineage: Eukaryota; Metazoa; Chordata; Aves; Psittaciformes; Psittacidae.